This 883-nucleotide ribosomal RNA is filed under the name Triticum aestivum (bread wheat). Its description in RNAcentral is "partial small subunit ribosomal RNA". Lineage: Eukaryota; Viridiplantae; Streptophyta; Magnoliopsida; Poales; Poaceae. The record is from RNAcentral.
AUAAAUACGCCUCCACCUGUGCCAUCAAUCUCGCAGAUCUCUCUCACCCCAAAGACAACAGAAAACCUUCUUCACGCGCGCACGCACCAAAAUCACCUUCGAUCUCAUCACCGGGGAAGGGGGAUGGCCGCCGAGGAGGGAGCCGUGAUAGCGUGCCACACCAAGCAAGAGUUCGACACCCACAUGGCUAAUGGCAAGGAGACCGGCAAGCUGGUGAUCAUUGACUUCACUGCUUCCUGGUGCGGUCCUUGUCGUGUCAUAGCCCCAGUCUUUGCUGAGUACGCCAAGAAGUUCCCUGGCGCCAUUUUCCUGAAGGUGGACGUUGACGAGCUGAAGGACGUCGCUGAAGCAUACAACGUUGAGGCAAUGCCGACCUUCCUGUUUAUCAAGGAUGGUGCGAAGGUGGACACUGUUGUCGGUGGCAGGAAGGAUGAUAUCCAUACCAAGAUAGUGGCCCUCAUGGGUUCUGCAUCUGCCUAAGAAGGGAAGAGUGAUGCCCCUCUUGUGUCAAUAAGAGCCAGCACCUGGUGUAAGUAGUUAUCGCUGCAGUAUGCUUUGGCUUAGUCGUGACUGAACUUUGUGAUGAUUCGGUUUAGAGUUCAGAACUUCAGACAUUUGCACCGGUUGUUCUGAAUUACAGUACCUAAUGUUUUGCUACAGUUGCUUCGUUGUGAAGUUUGGAUAACUAUCCUGUCUGAAUGUUAAUGCAAAGCCAAUAUGCCGCUGACCUUAUUUAUCUUAACUGUAUGCUGAUUGCUGAGCAUAUCACUGCAUCUUCAAGCCGCAGCACAUGCACAUCGAAGUUUCUUUCCGAUGGUUAGUUUUUUUGAAGAAAAAGCAGCAGAUUGCUGAUUCUCAUUGAUGAAGUGGUAGAAGAGAACAG